Molecule: long non-coding RNA, 1024 nt
Organism: Eriocheir sinensis (Chinese mitten crab)
Lineage: Eukaryota; Metazoa; Arthropoda; Malacostraca; Decapoda; Varunidae
Exons: 4
Source: RefSeq, a predicted model, not a curated record
UGACGUCAGCGCCGACCAGCCACUCGCAGGGUGCCUCGCCGUCACCCCUGCGCCGAGUGCCUCCUGACGGUGCCUAUACCCUCGUCAGCUGAGCCACGCGGAAGAAGAGGAUGGAGGAGGGUAGGAAAAGGAGAUAGGAGGAGGGUAGCAAGAAGAGGAAGGAUGACUCCCAUUCGUCACUUCAAGAUCAACGGAAAAGUAAGAGGGAGCCGCCCCCUACGUCUUCUCAUUACCUGGGCUGUGAGGGACGCUUACCUGGCCUUACCUGUCACUCCGGAGACCACCUGGACGAUCACUACUAUUUCUUCGACUACUUCUUCUACUAUUACUACUACAACCCACGUCCUCCUCUUACUACUACUACUACUACUACUACUACUACUACUACUACUACUACUACUACUACUUGCGCAGGGGCAGCACGGGCCUUGCAAUGGCGGCCCGUGGCGGGGUGCCGACAGACCGACUCUAUCGGCUGACGUCAGCCAAGCCGAUCAAGUCGGUCCGUCGACGAGGACUGGCGUGUCUCUGAAUGAUGAUGAUAAUGUUCUUAUUUAUGCAUCAGUUGUUCCGUCCUUCAUUUUUUUGGAAGUUUUUUUUUAAAUGCAGGAUUAAUUGAGGCUCUAUUAUUAUUAUUGUUAUUAUUAUUCAUUAUUGUUAUCUUAAUUACUAUUUGUUGUAGUAGAAGCAAUAUGAUGAUAAUGAUAUUGACAACGGUGAUAAUGGUAUUUAUUAUUUUUCAGAAUCAUCAUCAUCAUUAUCAUCAAUAGCAUUUACCGUCACUAUCACCACCGCCAUGUCUCACCACCACAUUAAUUCUCUCCAUCAACACAUCACAUAAUUCUACUCUUUUUUUUAUUCCCCUUUUUUCCCUCCUUACCAUUCCGCUGAUCACAAUCUUGACUGAUGCUGACUGAUCGCGGCUGACUGGUGACUGAUGGCCGCCGCGAAGGGGCUACCGGCGCACCUGCGAUUAGGCUCAUUAACGCUAAUCACCUGGGACAUUCAUCACUAUUCCACGCGU